Carassius carassius (crucian carp) is the source of this 817-nucleotide long non-coding RNA. RefSeq lists it as uncharacterized. The record is from RefSeq and is a predicted model, not a curated record. NCBI's taxonomy places the organism in Eukaryota, Metazoa, Chordata, Actinopteri, Cypriniformes, Cyprinidae. The transcript is spliced from 2 exons.
AAUGGUAAGUCUCCUGAAGCAAUACAAUACUGAUUAUUAGACUGAAAUUUUAAUCUGGACCUUGAUCAAAUUAUUCAUAAACUGCCCAGAUAAAAAAAAAAAUUUUUUUUAAUUACCCUAACUUUUUGUUUUUUCUUUAAGGGCAAUAAUGGCAUUGAUACUUCACACUAUGACCCUGGCAGAUCUAUAACUAUCUGAAAAGAAGAGACAGCAGAUGUUUUCAAGACACACAGGUUAUAUGGAUAGGACAAUAUUAUAUUAACUUAGCAACAUUUUAAUCUUUUAGCUGACAUCAGCAUGAUUCAUUUUGUCAUACAAUUGUAACAGAAAAAAGUAUAAAUAUUCUUUCAUUGUUUUUGUCAAACCGUUGAAAGUCUAGACAAUCUUUAUUUUCAAGCUUUAAAAGAACUUUAAUUUAGGCUUUCAUUCACAUUUAAACAUUGAACAAUUCCUCUUUGUAGAUCCCAGGAAACACUUUAAAUGGAAGCUCAAAUGUUAAGAAAAAGGAGCUUGAUCAGGUGCAGAAGGCAGCAAUCACCAUCAGAGUGAACAUUGUCUUUAACACCAGUGGAUGUUUUGAUUGCAUUUGAAGAUAAGAUGAUGUCUGCCAAGUCUUGGGUCAGUGCACUGGUGCUGUGUUUUUGCACUCAUUUAGAAAAAUUUUCAUUGUUUGCACAGUCUUGACUUAUUUUAUGAAACGUCUGAUACGAUUGUUUAAAGGUUAUAUUUUGACUAUAAAGUCCACUGAUUUUGUUUGAUGUUUGAAAACCUCUUGACGUAAAUGUUUCAUAAAAUUUCAAUAAACACUUAAGAAUAC